UCACAGCUCGCGAGUCAAGUCAAGCCGCAACGGCGCAACAGCCGAAAUGGCAUUCCUGUGUGCGUGCAGCCUGUGAUAGCAUGUGUGCCUGUGUCACGCAUUUCUCCGAAUGGCGUUCUUGUGGAACAUGUUUAGAUGUAGUGCGCGUAAUGGAAUUCUAGCUGAGUACGUCGUGUUACACUUCAGUGACCGAAGCGAAGAAAAACGCCAAGUGCCCUUGCGAGCUCGCGCUUCGAGUGUUGUAGCACACAAUGGAGCUCCGCAGAAUUACCAAGACAGGUGUGACAGUGGAUGCUGUCAAGUGCUUCCCAACUUAAGCGAGCUUGAGUGCCUGUGUGCCGCGAGAUGGGCCCUUUUCUGCUACUCAUACGGAAAGCUUUAGAGAUUACGUGCAAGAUCUACAAAAUCUCCUAAAAUCUCCAUGUCGCCACUAGACACAAGAACGAGUAUGUCAAGAACUUAGCACUGUGGCCUGGUGAGUCACAGCGCCCGUCCCCGCAGAGCUCCAAGCUGUUGUCACCAGCUGCUGCCAGAAUCCUUUUCUGGUGCUCAUCCCAGACCUACGAGGAAUUUGGACUCCGUCCUGAGUUUUGAUCCACUCCAGGUGCUACGCGUACAGUUCUGUGCACACGGUUUAUGCCUGAUAACAACGAGCACAAAAAUAGUUGCAAUUACAAACUAGUAUUGUGCACUCUUUUAAUGGACGUGAAGGAGAAACACCACCCACAUGUAAGCUCUGCCUAGACACACAGAGCAACAUAAGCACUGACGUACAGAACAUGCUAACAUAAUACCCUGGAUAAAAACUGAAAGUAACUCUUGUGAAUUGUAUUCGUGUUUUGUAUCUUAUUCAGGAUGAUAUGCAAGAAUGAGGCACAGGUUGCAACAUCAUUCCAAUUUCCACGUUAUGUGAUGGAUUUUGAAGACAUUCAGCCCUAAACCUCUUGUCGGUGGAUGCAAAAGAAACAGAUUAUGUAAAAAAAUGUUGACUUGGUGUAGCAAAGCUUUGCAGACAUUAACAGCAUAAAAGGAAUGCAAGUAAAUGAAACUACAUUGAAAUUUACAAACUACAUUGAAAAUCGCUAUGGAAUCUUCGGUACUGCAUAUGAGCCACAAAAUUCAGAAGUUGACCUUCUACUUUCUCAACUACUAAGCAAUUUUUUUUGGCAUUGCAUAAGCCGAGAAUUGUACAAAAAUGCCAUUUACAAAUACAGCACAGUGCAACGCUUUUCCUUAAUGUUCCAUUAUGGGUUUUCUGAAAUUAGAUGGCACAAUUCCUGCAGCUGCAUGCACUGCGUGCUAGCGAAGAUGUAAGGUAAACUUCCAGGCUGCUUGGAAUAAUGCCAGCGUCUGUUCUUUGGAAACAUUUUCUUCUCAUGCCAGGCAUAUUUUAUGUAUUUAUGUGCUUUGUUCGUUUUCUUAUGCACAAUAAAAAUUUUGAAAUGCUUG
This is a non-coding RNA of Dermacentor albipictus, 1449 nucleotides long. NCBI's taxonomy places the organism in Eukaryota, Metazoa, Arthropoda, Arachnida, Ixodida, Ixodidae. The record is from RefSeq and is a predicted model, not a curated record.